UACGUAGGUGGCAAGCGUUGUCCGGAAUUAUUGGGCGUAAAGCGCGCGCAGGCGGUCCUUUAAGUCUGAUGUGAAAGCCCACGGCUCAACCGUGGAGGGUCAUUGGAAACUGGGGGACUUGAGUGCAGAAGAGGAAAGCGGAAUUCCACAUGUAGCGGUGAAAUGCGUAGAGAUGUGGAGGAACACCAGUGGCGAAGGCGGCUUUCUGGUCUGUAACUGACGCUGAGGCGCGAAAGCGUGGGGAGCAAACAGG
RNAcentral lists this ribosomal RNA (253 nucleotides) under uncultured bacterium. Its description in RNAcentral is "partial 16S ribosomal RNA". It matches the Rfam family "Bacterial small subunit ribosomal RNA", at positions 524 to 776 of the family's 1533-position model. The record is from RNAcentral.